UACGUAGGGUGCAGGCGUUAAUCGGAAUUACUGGGCGUAAAGCGUGCGCAGGCGGUCUAUUAAGACAGGUGUGAAAUCCCCGGGCUUAACCUGGGAACUGCGCUUGUAACUGAUAGGCUUGAGUGUGGCAGAGGGGGGUGGAAUUCCAGGUGUAGCAGUGAAAUGCGUAGAGAUCUGGAGGAACACCGAUGGCGAAGGCAGCCCCCUGGGCUAACACUGACGCUCAUGCACGAAAGCGUGGGGAGCAAACAGG
This 253-nucleotide ribosomal RNA is filed under the name uncultured bacterium. RNAcentral's name for it is "partial 16S ribosomal RNA". It matches the Rfam family "Bacterial small subunit ribosomal RNA", at positions 524 to 776 of the family's 1533-position model. RNAcentral also lists the same sequence under 1 other name. The record is from RNAcentral.